UUUAAUAUUUCUAUGAUGAGUCAUUAAGUCACCUUAUAUCUUUGUAGCUUACCUUUGAAGCCUAACUUGUGGUUAGCCAGAACAUUCCCAAAAGGCAUCUCCAAAGAGAAUUAUAAUUGUCUUUGACCUAAAUAACAAGCUCUAACAGACUACAGUAAUACAUUGGCCAGCACAAUCCAGUGGAAGGAAGAAGCCUGAAUUCAAAGCAGCCAAGUACUAAAGUU
RNAcentral lists this long non-coding RNA (224 nucleotides) under Coturnix japonica (Japanese quail). RNAcentral describes it as "lncRNA (ENSCJPG00005008591.1)". Lineage: Eukaryota; Metazoa; Chordata; Aves; Galliformes; Phasianidae. The record is from RNAcentral.